AGCGCAGGCCGCCUUAUCGCUCUGUCCCGAUCGGGAUCGGGGAGGAAAGUCCGGACACCAUAGGGAAGCAUAGCGGCUAACAGCCGUCGGUCACGCCAGCGGCGCGAUUAGGACCAGUGCAACAGAAAGAAUGUACAGGUAAUGCUGUAGUGAAACCAGGUAAACUCUAUGCGGUGAAAUGCCACGUAAACCAGCGCUAAGGGUUCCCGCCCAAUGCUGGAGGGUAGGCAGCUAGAGCGUUGCAGCAAUGUAACGUCCAGAUAAAUGAUAAGGAUCACGCCAUAGGCGUGAGACAGAAUCCGGCUUAUAGGCCUGCAUUUUUU
RNAcentral lists this RNase P RNA (323 nucleotides) under Flavobacteriaceae bacterium. RNAcentral describes it as "RNase P RNA component class A". It matches the Rfam family "Bacterial RNase P class A". From Rfam's summary of the family: Ribonuclease P (RNase P) is a ubiquitous endoribonuclease, found in archaea, bacteria and eukarya as well as chloroplasts and mitochondria. Its best characterised activity is the generation of mature 5'-ends of tRNAs by cleaving the 5'-leader elements of precursor-tRNAs. The record is from RNAcentral. Lineage: Bacteria; Pseudomonadati; Bacteroidota; Flavobacteriia; Flavobacteriales; Flavobacteriaceae.